RNAcentral lists this transfer RNA (91 nucleotides) under Chloroflexota bacterium. Its description in RNAcentral is "Chloroflexi bacterium (sediment metagenome) tRNA-Ser". It matches the Rfam family "tRNA". Rfam says of the family: Transfer RNA (tRNA) molecules are approximately 80 nucleotides in length. Their secondary structure includes four short double-helical elements and three loops (D, anti-codon, and T loops). Further hydrogen bonds mediate the characteristic L-shaped molecular structure. tRNAs have two regions of fundamental functional importance: the anti-codon, which is responsible for specific mRNA codon recognition, and the 3' end, to which the tRNAs corresponding amino acid is attached (by aminoacyl-tRNA synthetases). tRNAs cope with the degeneracy of the genetic code in two manners: having more than one tRNA (with a specific anti-codon) for a particular amino acid; and 'wobble' base-pairing, i.e. permitting non-standard base-pairing at the 3rd anti-codon position. The record is from RNAcentral. Lineage: Bacteria; Bacillati; Chloroflexota. RNAcentral also lists the same sequence under 1 other name.
GGAGGGAUCGCAUAGUGGUCUAGUGCGCCCGCCUGCUAAGCGGGUUCCGGGUAACCCCCGGUCCUGGGUUCGAAUCCCAGUCCCUCCGCCC